ACACGACUACAUUAGAUACCCCGGUAGUCCAGGGUGUAAACGCUGCGGGCUUGGUGUUGGGGUCCUUUGAGGGCGCCCAGUGCCGGAGAGAAGUUGUUAAGCCUGCUGCUUGGGGAGUACGUCCGCAAGGAUGAAACUUAAAGGAAUUGGCGGGGAGCACCGCAACGGGAGGAGCGUGCGGUUCAAUUGGAUUCAACGCCGGACAACUCACCAGGAGCGACGGUUACAUGAAGGCCAGGCUGAUGACCUUGCCUGAUUUUCCG
RNAcentral lists this ribosomal RNA (263 nucleotides) under uncultured archaeon. RNAcentral's name for it is "partial 16S ribosomal RNA". It matches the Rfam family "Archaeal small subunit ribosomal RNA", at positions 717 to 982 of the family's 1478-position model. The record is from RNAcentral.